GUUACCUUUGUCUAUUUACUAGUAAGUGUUAGUUUGGAAGUACUGCACAUACUUCUAUUGGCUUUUAAAUUAAGCAUGGUGCUUAGGUUAAACAACCUUCCUUAAUCUGAUUAGACAUGGAGUCUAGUUCGGUUAUUGAACUAAAAACUGCUUGUGUAGACAUUGGUAUAUUUUUGUCGGACUAACCCCUGCAGAAAAAAUCUUUCAAUAUCGAUUUGGGAAGUCCUGAGAUAAACUCACAUCAGAGACAAAGAGAGUGACACAUGAAGUUUAACAAUUUGCACAAGAAGGACAUAGCUCAUUCAUCAUACAGAGAUGAUCCAUGGAAGGAGACAAAGUACAUAAACACGAUGCACAACCGCUAUGAAAGGAAAGCUUCCACAAGGUGAUACUAUACCAUCACUCUUCAAGUAAGGGUUAGAGAAGAACAAAUACACUUUUGGUUCUGUUGGUGUUUUUCACCAACAGGGCCCAUGCACUUGAUCUCUGCCUUGUCUCUAUGAGCAGGUACACUUCGAGCAAAACCUGGAAGAGUUUUACAACUCCCAGACUCCACCAAGUGAACGACCUGGAUCUACGAGCACAAACACACUGAGCAGGUUACUGCCAACGCCGCACUUCGAACUGCUGGGCAAACAAAGAACAUGGGUGACACCGUAUCAAGAGGUGCAGACGUCAAGGUCCGCACCUGAAUCAAAUGACGCACCGGAAGAAUGAACACGGUGAGAAGUCUUGUUAAGAAGACUUAAAACAUUGAACCAUCGCCGAAAGGUAAGAUCGGUAGUUGUCCAUAUUUAUCCUUUCUGCAUUCCCUUUUUCCUUUAAUUAUUUACUUUCCUUAAAUAGAUUAUUAGUUAAUCAUGCUAUCUUGAAAAGAAAAUAAAAAUGUUAAAAAAUACUAAGCUCCAUGUGAGUAUACGAGUGGCAUAAAACCCAUAAGUACCUUCAUUGUGGUGGCAUAAAAAUAAAAUAAAUAUUUCUUUUCUGCUUUAUAAAAUAAAAAUAUAAAAACAGGGAGUAAUAUUUAUUGAGGAAGCUCAACAUGAUGAAGGCUAGAUAUUUAUGCUAACACUUAAUUAGUUCCUCAAGCUUUGUUGUCUAUUUGAGCUCCACAGAAUUUAAGAAUCAAGAAGACUAGCAGACGGAGGACAUUCUAAUCGCUGUCAGAAUGCUGCUGACUUUCAAAUACACCUCUGCCACCUGCUAGCUACAUCAGGAGAAAUUACAUCAAAAUCCAGCUUGGGGGAGAGCACCCCCAUUUAUCCAGCUAAGUGUUUCUACUCGCGUUUAUACUUUACUCAAAUAAUAAAAAGAUACAUAAUUAUAAAAACCUAAAUAAAGAUUUUAUGCUUAUAUAUAUAUGUAUGCUUAGUUUAAAGUUUGCUAUGAACUCUCAUGAUAAGCUCUCACAUGAAAAUGAUGAAUAGUUGCUCUGCCUAAUUUGCAAAUUUGAAGUUCUCUCUCAAGUUUUGACAUAACUGUUAUAAUUUAAAGCUUGCUCCAGAUCUAAACUUGUGGGAUGAAAACUUGAUCUGAAAUCUAAGUUGUUAACGGAUAUGAUAUGGGAAGGUUGAGCUGCUGUUUAUCUGUUCCUAGAGAUGCUAGAAUUCUAGAGAAUUUUAUCUUUGAAAAAUCUUUAAAAUAUUGCAUGAUGAGUUCCUGUAUGAUGAGAGUUUAAAUUCCUACCACAGCCAUAUAUACAUGCUUGCUAGACUUUGAGCCACACAUUUACUAUUUACUGCUUAUGAGCAUUGAGUGUGGUCAAGCUGUGUAGACUCUUAGGAGCUUGUCAUGUGGUUAAAUCAAGAUUCACUUGCACGUUCACUCAUAUAUGCUACUUCUACUCCGGAAGUACCAUCCACAUAUAUCUAUCCAUGUCCAUCUCCAGAACCACCCAAAAAUAUUCUACUCCUAAUCCGGGAGAGAAUAGCCAAAAAUAUUUCUGUUUUCCCUUGUGAAAUAUAUGCUCAAGUUAUCUUGCUACUACCACUUGAUAUAUUAUCUCAAGAGAUGAGUGCUCUGAAAAAAAAGAAAAGAGAAGAAAAGAAAAAAAUAAUAAAUGAGGAAAUAAAAAGGGGCAAGUGCCCGGAACCUCGAAAGAAAGAAAAUGUGAGACGAGAGGUAAAAAUGGACAAGUGUCCGACAGUAGAAUUCGGGGUACAAGAUACCCACCUGAGUGGAAAGAAAAAGAAGAGCAUCUCAUUCUCCUCAUAAAGUUUCAAAAAGCAAGGAAGGUAUGUAUCCCCUCAAAAGAGCAAAAGUAGAAUUAGACUUUCACCAUUGUUACCACCUUCAUCACCAUACACCAUUCAUUCGCCACACAUGCACAUCUUGAUUUGGCUUAUUGAUUUGUUUCUUUGGAUCCAUGGUUUGACUAUACAAUAAAUGUCUUGUAAGUAUGUAUACUUUAUCUCCCACCUAUGAGCUCUAGAUAUUAAAGCCUUAUUAGAGUAGGGUGAGAGAGAAGGCAAUGUCACUAUACCUUAUACCACAAAUACCAUAUAUAUUGAGAGAAGGCAUAUACCAUCACUGCCUUGGUAAGGAUCCAGAAAUACCACAAAAGAGAGAUUUAGAGAGUCAUACAAGGAAUCUCUGAGUUUUAUUUGAAAAUCUGCAAAAACUCCAGAGCCAUAUCUGAUCAAGAAUAAGAGACAUGGCACUUGGCUAGACUGUUCUAUCUUUUAACUACUCAAGACAGAAGUGACGGUUACAAGUCCCAUGGUGAAAGGUAAAGUAAGUAAGUUUUAGUUCUUGACAGUUUACUCUAACUCAGAGAUGAGAUCUUAUUUAAAAGCAUGUGUACCGUCAAAUUUUUAAGAUAUUGCAACAACUUCUGAUCCAUUGCUGAGUCUAUCCUUGCUCAGGGACGAGCAAGAGGUAAGCUUGGGGGAGUUUGUUGACGGUCCUUAAGUAUCAAAUUUAAUUAUCAAAUAAACAAAGAAAAGGAUCCAAAUGAAAUCAACAUCUAGACUUAGGGUUUUAUCUGACAGAAUUCCACGAGUUUUGGUGUUUGUCUAUUUCUGUAGGGGGUUAUCAGGAAAUAUGAAAGAAAGGCCCACAUGUCGGGUUUACAUAGAGAUAUUAACGUGCCGCGCAAUUUUCGACCAUCUAGAAGACUCCAGAAGCCACGGGAACGAACGGGAGGCCGAUCGGGCCCGGGGGCAGGGUGCCCGCCCAGCUACAGUAACCAAUCAGCUUCAACUUCGCGGAUCAUGCUCCACCGACCUAAUACUUCAAGGAAAACCACACGAUCAAUGUCGGUUUGAUCCGACGGCCCAGAUUCAUCUGAAAAGACUAUAUAACCAGACACCCUGGACCCUGGAGGAGGCACCCCUUGAUCAUUAUUCAUUAUUCAUAGACAGAGCAAAAGCUAGGGUUUAGAGAUGAGAGCUCUCCUCUCUUCUCUAAACUAGAGUAGAUCUAGAUAGUAGCAAGAUGGAGAGCGAAGGAGGAUUAGAGGAGAGGCCGGCCUGUCGGUUCUUCCUCCAGUUGUACUUCGUCAUGAUCAAGCUCUAAUCAAGCUUGCUCAUGGGAUGACUCUGGUAAUCUACUUCUAAUUCAUUAUGCAAUUACUAAUUAUGUAUGUUCUGGUUCACAACUCUUUUGAGUAUUCUAAUCUAUAGGACGCUAUAGGUGAGAGUUGUAGUAUAGGUGUAAGCAAGGUGCUUAGAUCUAGAUUACUUGUGGAUAUCCCCUAUCUAGCUGGAUCGUGUGGAAGACCGCAUAGGUGACAGUUACGUUGGUCCUCUGUAGUCCACCUCUCGUUAGCAGGACGGGUAGGGUUUAUCGGCCUAAGGAUAAGCAUCCUUUGUGGUGUACUCUUAUCACGUGGUUCGUCCCAGACAUAGACAUACCCCUUUGAAGUAGAGAAACCAUAGUUAUCCUCUCUAUUCUGCUACCAUCGCCCAUAUACUAGAAUUGCUCUAUUCUCUAUUCCCAUAUUAUCACCCAUUGUUAUCUUAUCUUUAAUAUUGUUCUUAUUCGAUUCUACCAUCUAACCUAUUUACACCUAUUUACUUAUCUUGGUUAAGUUAGAGCGUAGAUCAGUUCUCCCGUUUCCCUGUGGAUACGAUAAAACCUUUAACCGGGUAAAAGCUUCGACGGUAUCCGUGCGCUUGAGGAUUAUCUGUGUGCGUAUAAAUACCAUAGUACACUCUAGUGCCAUGCUGGGGAUGACAACCUAGUAUUCAAGUGGUGUUAGCAAGUGUCAACACCCUAUAUGCCAGAUCGCGGGGUAGUUCGAGGUAGUGACAGCUCCAUUGAUUCUUAUAUUGUCCCCCUCUCGUGUAUAGGGCUGGCAGAGCAACAUUAUUACACGGGAGUGAUUGCUAUGUUUCUCAUUUACCUUGAUAAUAUCACUUUAUCUAUAUUUUAUGUGACAUUUAUCCCUGUAUGAAAGAGAUAGAUAAAUGCUCUCAAUUAUAAAUGCAAUGAUAAAUACUCAAUCCUAUAUUCUAUUCCAUAAUCAACAUUGAUGCUUAGCAAUCCCUUCCCAGUGGUAAAAAUAUAAAUAACGAUAUCUGGAAUACUUCCCGGUUAAAAUGUUACAUCGGUAUUAAUCUGUGCGCUUGCAGAUCUCAUUUAUUAUUUAUUUAGAAGAGCAAUUGCAUAUUUCAAUACCACGUCUCUCAUGUCAUGCUGGGGAUGACAACUUGGCUUAAGUGGCAUGAGGGAUAGGUUUGACAUUUUUGGCGCCGUUAUCAGAAUUAGAAAACUAAGUCUACUUUUGGUAGUGACAUUAAGAAUGCCCAACAGCGACGAUACCGAUCCUCACGCUGCUGCCAGGUUUCCUGAUAUCUCCUAUGAGUGAUAACAAUACCGGACUGAGGAGGUCUUCCAGAAGUGGUGCCUUCCUGGAUUAACCCUUUACCUUUGGCGUCAUCGGCAUUGAUUUGAUGCUGGGGGUCUACCGAUGCGCUUCUCUCAGUUGCUUCUGAUGUCAAGACUUUGGUCUUUCCCUUGGCAUCCAACAUGUUUGUGGGGAAAGGAUGUUGAUCAAUCUUUAUCGGCUUCUAGGCUUUGGAGCUAUCAAAUUUAAUCCUCCCAGACUCUAUAGUCGAUUGCAGCUGUUGUGUCAACUCUUUGCAUUCAUUUGUAUUAUGAGAUGUUGCAUUAUGCCAAUUGCAAUACUUGAUCUUCUUUAACUCUUCCGCCGAUGGAAUCACAUGGUUGGGUGACAAUUUAAUCUACCCCUCCUAAAGCAGAAAGUCAAAUAUCCUAUCGGCUUUGGUGAUGUCAAAUGCAAACUUUUCUAGCUCUUUAUGUCCAAAAGGACAAGACAUCGCCUUCUUAAUUUUUACCCAUUCUGCCAAGCUAAUGACUGGUUCUUCAUCAGAAUCUGAGCUUGUUGCCUCCUCAACAAAUGAUACCUUUUUAUUCCAGGCUUUCCUAGGCUCAAAAGUCUUGAUAUCCUGAUCAGAAAUCCUCUGUACCAAAUGACUUAGACAUUCAAAUUCUUGGGAAGCAUACUUGUCUUUAAUGUGUGGCAACAAUCCUUGGAAUGCCAAAUCGGCAAGCUGCCGAUCAUCUAGAACCAGACUAUAACAUUUAUUUUUGACAUCUCGCAACCGUUGCACAAAACUUUCAACCGAUUCAUCAUUACGUUGCCUCAGCCUGAUUAAAUCGGUAAUCUUCUUCUCAUGAACACCAUAAAGGAAGUAUUUAUGGAACUGCUUCUGUAGAUCGGCCCAAGUAAUUACUGAGUUUGGAGGUAAUGAAAUAAACCAAGUGAAGGCCGAUCCAGAUAAAGAUGAUGAGAAUAAACGAACCCUUAACUCAUCUCUGUUAGGCGCUUCACCACAUUGGAUGAUGAACCUGUUAACAUGCUCCAUGGUUGAUGUAUCUACCUAUCUAGAAAAUUUGGUGAAAUCUGGCACCUUGUACCGAUUUGGAAGCGGAAUCAAGUCAUAUGCAGGAGGAUACGGUGUCCGAUAAGAAUAAGUGUUGACUUUGGGUUUUAUCCCGAAUUGAUCUCUCAUCACCUUAGCAAUCUUAUCGGCCCAAUAAGCAUCGGCAUCCUGCCGAUGAGCAGGUUGUUGAUCUGGCACCUGCUCAUAAGCUUCCACGUGUCUCUACGGUGCACGAUCUCUAGGGAACAUGGCAUCAGCCACUGCCUGUUGACCACCAACUUGCUGAGCAAGAUUCAUCGGCUGAUUGAUCAAUCCUUGAUUCUGAAACCCAGGUUGCAUUGGUCCCUGUUGAAAUCCCAUAGCCUGAUGAUUCUGUUGAGGCGUUUGUGGAAAGACAAACUGCCCUGUCCAUCCACAGUUAACAUUCAUCGGCGUAGGCCCUGCCGAUGACUAGUAGUUGGGCAUCAUCAUUGAAUUGACAUACCCAGGCUGUGUCAUAAACCUUUGAUGCGUCGGCAUUGGAUCUGCCGAUGCGUUAGGCAUCUGGAACGUUGGCAUUUGAGAAUUCCCAGUAAAGGGUUUUACAGUGGUAGUUGUAGAAUACUAAGGAUUCUGAGUCAUCAGUGAUACUGGGGGUGCCGAUGCCAUAGGAGCCUUGCCUGUCGUGUCAGCCACUUGAGAUGUCCUAGAACUAUUUGCUAUAAAUUCUGGGGGCAUACCAUAUCGCCACCAGUUGGGAGGAACUUGACAAUUUUUAAACACAGACCCUGACAUUGCCAAUGCCAAUAGAUCUGUAGUAAGUUGGAUUUGUCCCUCUGAUGUUGCUGGAUUAGUCCUCAUCGGUAUAGAUUGCCCAUUAGUCAUCCCUAAUGUGCUUGGAGGAGAAGUAACUUCUGUACCCACAACGGCAGAGCAGCCGACGGAGCUGUAACCGAUGAUGAUCCAGGCUGAUGAUAGGCUGGGCCCACAUAAGCUACUGGUACUUGUCCUUCCUUGAAAGUUCUAGCCACAGCAUUGAAAACUGUAUUGGACAGUACACUGGAUUGAUUGAUUGAUUAUAGCACGACUCAUAGCAUUGUCAACCAUCUCUUGUAGUUUACCAGGAUUAGCUUCAAAAGUGAUUUGCCGAGGCAUCGGCAAUGCUUCCUUUUGGAUCACCUCGCCGCUCCUGUUGAUGCUGAAGGACUUCAAACAUAGUUGCUUAUAGCUUUUGUCAUAGCUUGCUUCUGCUCAUCUCUGAGAUUGGCUUCCGUCACGGGGUUGAUGUUAUCCGUAUCGAAAUCAGUGUUUGACAUGUUGAUCUUGAUGUUGAAUCUCUGUCCCACUGGGCGUGCCAAAAGAUGUGUUGGUGCAAAAGUAGAUCUGCAAACACAAAGGGCUAAUACCUGAUUUGAUGUUAAGGCGUGCCAGCCGAUUUGACCAUGCAAUCGACAAAGGUGGUAACUCGAAUACUUUGGUCCCGACAACAGCGAUGCGCCCGGAUGUCACGGCCAAGAGGUAUUCACGUGGAACUCGAGAACUCGCUGAGGUUGACUCGAAGAAUUCCUAAGAACUCGUAAGUAAAAGGAAAAUACGCAAGGUGACAAAGUCGUCGAAAAAGUAGAUGCUGGAAUAGAUGUAAAGACUUGUAUUUGAUUGAUUGUAUAUUGUCUAUUACAUUGCUACGGGGUCUAUAUUUAUACCCUGUCAAAAAGAAUUACAACCAGACACGACUAGGAAUCUAAUUCCAAAUUGAACGAAAUACGUAUACAAAACGAACUCUAAUAGCUAUGGAAAACAUUAAUCUAUCUACCACAGGCGAUCGGCACACCGCCACUAUCCUAUCAGCAAUUCCUACGCCUCCUCCUGUCAUCAUCGGCAAUCGGCAAACCACCUUCCAUCGGCAUCGGCAACCACCAUGAUUAGUCAUCGGCAUAGAUCAAUCACCAUCCCUGGACUUAGCCACAUACUGCUCUUUAGCCAUCGACAUCAAUUCCCAUCGGUAACUCCCUUGAUAACCAGUCACCACUCUUUCACCUACCGAUCUUUAUUUCAUCAAUUCCUAGAUACGUAUCCGAAGAUACGUGUCCAAAAAUGGUGUCAACACAUUUGAGAUGCUUCCCAAAGAAAAUGCUAAUGAAAUGUAUUCUUGCUUGAAUGUUGUAAUACCCGAUUUUAAGGACAAAACCAGAUAUGCACCAUAUGUGAGUUUUAGAAGUCAAAUCUCACAUAUAGCUACAAAUAAGGGGUAAUAUCAAAAGACAAUGCAUAAAUAUAUAGCGUACAUAAUAUAAAAGAGAUAACCUUUAGCAUCAAACAGCGGAUAGAGAACUCUAAACUUCGGGUAUUAACUUCUCUCCACAGGAUCCAACUGACUAGUUGAUCACAAGCCCAAAACUUCUCCUGAGGUGUGGGGGAAUUGCAAGAGUGAGCACAUAUCAUACUCAACAAGUAUAACCAGGGGUUCAUGAGGCUCAAAUAGCUGACACUGGUUUGACUGCAUUUAGCUUUUAUAUGUAGAUAGCAUAUUUACAUUUAGAUAGCAAUUGUCAAGGUAGCAUAAUUAAAUCCCAUAACCACAUGAUCAAUGUAUACAAGAAUUAAGAAUAACACAUAUAAACAACAUAAUAAACCAUCAUUUAUCAUCAUUUAUCAUGUUCAACAGUGUCCAUCUAUUCCGUCAGUUUUCUAGGCCGCCCGUAUCAGUGGGCACGGCUAGUAUACCAGAUUUAACACUCUGCAGAGGUUGUACAUCUUUACCCAUGAGUCGUGAUUUACCCUUUCGCACGAGGUUGCAAGUCUCUUAACCCCCUUCCUAGGGAGGUCGGCAGGGAUCACUAUGAAGCCUUUCAAAGGUUUCGUCUAACAAGUUAGGGCCAUUAGAUUCACUCGGCAGGCAAAUAUAGAGCCCCCCUUCCAUGGCACAUAACCCGCAGCCUAUACACAUGGACAGAGGCCACACUAUACCCAACGUGUCUAGCCAUUCUUACGCCAUUUAAGGUAACCUAUAACAAGCUAGAAAAAGGUCCUCAUACUGAGCUAAAACCAGAGCCAUAUAGCCCUCAUGGUUGUACGAGUUGUCCCAGCUUUUGCCAAGGGAUAAGUCCUUAUGGAGGGUCAAGAUUGUUGACGGUCCUUAAUGCUCACAUUUAACCAUCAACUAAUCAUGGAAAAGUAUCUAAAUGGAACCAACACCUAGACUUAGGGUUUUAUCUGAUAGAAUUCCACAAUUUUUGGUGUUUGUCUAUUUCUGCAGGGGCUUAUCAGGAAAUACGAGGAAAGGCCCACACGUCGGGUUUACAUAGAGAUAUUAACGUGCCGCGCAAUUUUCUAUCAUCUAGAAGACUCCAGAAGCCACGGGACCGUAGCGGAGGCCGAGAGGACUCAAGGAUAGGGCGCCCGCCCUCCUCUCCUGGGCGCCCGCCCUCGGCCAGAGUCCAAUCAGGACUCUCUUUCGGGAUAUUGCUCCACCGACAUAAAGGAUCAAGGAUAACCAUUCAAUCAAUGUCGGUUUGAUCCAACGGCCCAGAUUCACUUGAAGGGACUAUAAAACUAGACCCGCUGGCCCCUGGAGAUCAUACCUCUUCUACAGAAUCAAAGUUAGGGUUUCAAUUCUUCAUCCAAGUAGAGAGGAUCCCUCUAGUUCUUCUAGUUCUACCACUAGUUCAUCUAGAUCUAGUUCUAGUUCAUCUAGUUCUAGUUCUAGUUCCUCUAGUUCUAGUUCUAGUUGUAAUCUAGAAAAUAGGGAGAGAGAAGAGGAGAGCGGAGGAGGAGCCGGGUCUGUUGGAUCUUCCUCAACAUUAUAGUUUUGUAGCAACUGGUUCGUUCUUCAUCGUUCUCCAAGUUCUUCAAUUCAUAAUUCCUGAGUUCUUUAAUUACUUUUUAUUUACAUUCAAGUUAUUUAUUGGAUUCCCCCUUGUAUCAAGUGCUCUAGUCUUUAUAACGCUAGAGUAGUGAUUAAUAGAUUAGACGUGGUGUUUAGUCUUGCAAUUACCUGGAAUUGCACCCAAUCCUGCGGAUUGUUGUGGUAGCCCUAGGGUAGUGACAGCCCUAAUGGUCGACGUAUUCCACCUCGUUCGGAUCGGUGUUUGUAGGACUGUAGUCAGACCUUCCUAGCCCCCUUCUCAUCUCUUUCUGUGGUUGGUGCUCUGAUGUCCCGAAAUAGAUAAUCUUGAAGUAAUUCUUGAUUCUUAGAUCAACUAGAGAACUCUCAGGAAACUUCCUCUCUUCCCACCAAAAAUAAUUAUAUAGUUAUCCUUGGGCGAUCUUGGAUCUUAAUUAGUACACUCACGUUCUCUGUGGAAAAUCGAUACUCUGGAAUACUCCCGGGUGAAGGCUACAUCGGUAUCCGUGCGCUUGCGGAUUUUUUCUGUUUGCGUUUAAAAUACCCAACAAGCUUUCUGGCGCCGUUGCCGGGGAACGGUAGCUGUGCUAGUUUCGAACCAAGUCGUUCAUGUAUCCUUUUUCUUUUCCUUUUUUUACCACACUCACCUUAUCAUUUUCACCAUACCACAUGGAUUUCACUCUAAGCAUUAAUGAGCAUGGAAUUUAUUUCAUAACCACUUCAUUUACUCCAUGCUCAUAUGCAUCAUCUUCACAAUCCAUUGGUCUCUCCAACAUCACCACAUUCGAGAUCUCCAACCCCCUCUUCCUUUCUAUUUAUAAAAACUUUAAAAGGGCGGUUGUCGAUGCAUAUGUCUAUAUUAAAUAUUGUAGAUCUCGUUGAGUUGAUCUUGAUAUAGGUCAGCGGUGGAGGGGAAACCACUUCGCCGACAUAAAUUGAUGGUUUCCCAAGGACAAGCUUAGUGUCCUAAAAUAAGCACUGAUCAGAUUGUAACAUGAGCUUUUAAUUAUUUGCAACAUUACCUUGUGUAUUGAGCAUAUAAGGAUAAUUGUAAAAAAUUCCUUCGAGUAUUCUUGUUACUAACCUUUCUAGGAUUGGAGCAAGAAGAUCUGAUGAAUGACAAGCACAAGGUAUGUCCAACCAAUCAUCAUACAACAUUGAAUUAAAUUCAUCCAAACUUGAAUUUUGCAUAAUUCAAGCUUGGGGGAGUACUUUACAUACAAACAUGCUUUGCCAUGUUGCUAUGUUAGUUGUCCCUACCUUUGAGACAUGCUCAAUUUGUUAAAUACUAAUCACACUACUUCAUCUCCACUUGAGUAUAUCUCUAUAAAUGCUCUCAUGCUACCUUUAUUUGCUUUAGUAUAUGUCUUGGUUUGGAGUAGUUUCAUUUAUCUCUUAAUUAAGCAUGGUGUUUAGUUUAGGGCUGAUGAUCUUACUUCCAACGGAGUUUAAAUUAAGCAUGAUGCUUAGGAUAAAAUGCCCUCCUAAAUCAAAUUAGACAUGGUGUCUAGGUUGAUCUUUGAGCCGAUAGUAUGCUAUAGUAGAUAUUGGAUAUUUUGUUGGACUAACCCCUACAGGAAAACUUUCAAUAUUGACCUGAGAUGUCCUGAGAUAAACUCACAUUGGAGACAAAGAGAGAGAUGCAUGAAGGUUAACAAUUUGCACAAGAAAGGCAUAGCUCACAAGAGAUGAUCCAUGGAGGGUGCCACAAACACGAUGCACAACCGCUAAGAAAGGAAAGCUUCCACAAGGUGAUACUGUAUCAUCACUCUUCAAGUAAGGUACACUUCAAGCAAACUAUGAAGGACUUUUUCAACUCCCAGACUCCACCAAGUGAAGAACCUAGAUCUACGAGCACAAACACACUGGAGAUACUGGACACUCAGGCAAUCACUGCCCUGAGAUGCUUGAGGACGUAAACUACAUCAAUAAUAGCAACAACAACUACUACAACCGUCCUCAACAAAAUCAAGGUUGGAAUCAUCAGAGGCCUAACUACUCAGAGAGGCGAUCCAGGAUGCCCCGUCAUCCCGAUCUCCAUCGGUAUGCUUGCAGAUCAGACACUAAGUCUCCCAAAGGGAAUAUUGAAGAACCUCUAUGUUCGAGUUGGUACCCUAUACGCUCCAGCAGACUUCGUAGUGAUAGAGGCUGGUACUGAUGAGAGGGAACCCAUCAUCUUAGGGAGGCCAUUCCUGAACACCUCGGGAGCUGUCAUCUACGCUAGUGCUGCCAAGAUCAGUUUCUACAUCAAGGGGAGUGUUGAUAUUUGGGAACGCAAUAAGGAAUUGAUCCAUAAGCGCACGGAUAUCGGUGAGCACUUCACCCGGGAGGUUAUCCAGAGUAUCGUAUUUAUUUUUUUACCACUAGGAGAAAGAGUGCAUCUGACUAACCGGUCUAUUACUACUAACACUUUAGGCAACAAAGAAUGUCUCUCGAUGUGAGUGAUAAAUAGAGAAGACUGCAACCGUAGUCUCCUUCUAACCUUGGUAAGGAUGAUCUAAUGUUCUAUUACGGAGGCUAACGGAAUCUAGACACCACAAAGGAUGUUCAACCCGCACCUAUAAACCCUAUCCUUCCUGCUAACGAGAUAUGGUCUGCAAAGGUAACUCGGAAUUGUCACGUUCCUCACUACUACCACGGUCCAGCUAGUCAGGGAAUAUCUAUGAGUAUCCCAGCCUAAACACCACGUUUAUGCCAGCAAUGAUUACUCUAAACUCUACGCGAAGAGAUUAAAGUAAACUCAUAAACCAGAAGAACAAUAAAACAAGAACUUACUAGAAUUUAGAAGUCGAAAUACUGAAGAAUCCUAGGAGCAAGCUUCGGGUUAGGAGAACUUGAUCCCACAGGUACAAGCUUGGAGUAGACACCGACAGGCCGGGCUUCCUCAAAUCUACACCUCCACUCUAUCUCUCUCAAUCUAGUAGAAACUAGAAGAUCUAUUUCUACCUUACAUUGGUUGCUAAGCCUAAAAAGAAAUAUUAUUUAGAGAAAAGGUUUUCCUUCGAGGGCACCCCUCAAUCUCUAUGAUAAUUUCUUGUCUUCUCCAGGGGCCAGGGGGGUCUCCUUAUAUAGUCCUCCUCCUCUAUGCGUUUUUGGGUCGGUAGGCGAGGUGGUACUACAUUAUCUUUGAUCCAUUAGGUCGGUGGAACAUCAUGUGCGAAUAGAGUCCCGAACGGGAUCCAGUAGGUGGCGGGUGCCCAGGUCACCAGGGCGGGCGCCCUGGGCCUGGCCCCUUUCGGCCUCUGCUUCAUUCUCGUGGCUUCUGGAGUCUUCUAGAUGAUAGAAAAUCACGCGGUGCGUUGAUAUCUCUAUGUAAUCCCGACAUGUGGGCCUUUCUUCCUUAUUUCCUGACAACCCCCUGCAGAAAUAGACAAACAACAAAACUCGUGGAAUUCUGUCAGAUCAAACCCUAAUUCUAGGUGUUGGUUGCAUAUUGGUCCUUUCUUUUGUUUAUUUGAUAAUUAAAAUUGAUACUUAAGAACCGUCAACAAAUACCCCCAUACUUAGGCUUUUACUCGUCCUCGAGAAAAGGAUGGUUAAGAACAAUACUUGGGGUAAGACAUUCUAAAACAUUCUUUAUAUUUGCAGGGUAUUAAAAUCCACUGUGUACUAUAGUCAGGAAAGUAUAUGAUUAGGAGUAAAGAUUCUUUCUUCUCAAUCCUAUUACUUGGAGUUUUUGUAUAAUUUUGAAAGAAAGCUAGCAUACCUUUUUAUCCUCAUAGGUUCUCUCAGAUCACUCAUUAUCUUUUAUAUAUCUCACUGAGGCUGUUUUAAUUUGCAAAAAUUCUUAAGCAUACUUACUUUGCAUUUAUUGCCUGAUCAAAACAGGAUCCAAGGUGGGGAAUGUCAUACUCUUAGAUCAAAGCCUUUGGAAAUUAAAAUCUUUAUCAACUCUUGCUGGCAUAUUGCUUAUUAGAGGGACCAUGGGCUAUCAUUUUUUUUCUCUUAUUUUUUAAGUGGAUACCGAGGUAUCCCUAAUUCUACUGUCGGACACUUGUCCAUUUUUCCUGCGAGGUUGUCGAGCACUUGCUCCUUUUUAUUUCCUCGAAAUAUCUUUAUUUUUGCAUAGCCCAUGCCUCUAAUGCAAUAAUACUUCGGAAGAGUGAAUCUUUCUGAAUAAAUGUCUUGAUCUUAAGAGCAUGUUAAAUCUCUCAACAAGGGUCUAACUCAUUUUGAUCAAACUCAAUACAGAGUAGAUAGCUUUUAUAAUCAUAAUUAAUAUUUUCAGUUUUAUCAGGCAUAUAAAACACUGAGGAUGGUAGCUAGAAUUUUAAAGAUUUUGAAAUAAAUUCUCCAAGCAACAAUGAUAUCAAGAAUAAGAAACUCUACCAUCUCACAUUUCACACUGUCUUAAGUAACAUAGGGUUUUAAAAUGAUUUUAUAAUAAUUGCAAGUUUUAGGAAAUAUAACAGAGUGAGAUUAAUCAUGAUUAGAAAUAUUUUAAUCUUUUUAAUUUGUCAUGUCGGAAACAGUAUUCUGCAUAAUCCAAGAUAUGUGUAUGUGUAAAGUAAAGUGUGCAGAGUGUGUACCUGAAUCGUGGAGUGGUGUAGUCGGAGUGUGUUUGGCAUGUCGAGGGAUCUCCCCCAUACUUGUUUUGUGCUUUCUUGCACAAAAAAUAAAGUAGAGACACACAAGACAUAAUAAUAAUAAUAAUAAUAAUAUUCUUUAUUAAUCUUGUGGCAUUUAUUACAAAUGACUAGUAGUAAACUGAUAGCAAUAGUAACAAACUGAUAAUAAUAGUAAACCUAAACUGAAUUUAAAGAUAGAUGACUAAGAUGCAUUGCCUCAAGAUCUAAUCUAGAUAACUUAGCGGCGCUCUAAUUCCUUGAUCUUCUUGCUGGCACUAGCAAGAUCCUGCCUAAGGCCUAGUAUGAUGGUGUUGUGGUUAGAGAGCUGCCUAGUGAGGGAAUUAAUCGAGGACUGGAGGUCUAUGAUAACUCUGUCUAGUCUACGAACGUCCUCAUCAAUAUCCAUUAUAGUCUUGCGACGCUUGGGAGGUGUCUCAAAAGCAUUGAGAGCGUGCUUCGGGGCUGCCUUUGGAGAGAUGAAACGGACUUUGGCUGCUCUAAUCCCUUCGAAGUAAGGUCUUUCCUCCUCCGUAGUGUAGCGUACGCUGCUGAUCUUGCCGCUCCGGUUGGUCUUGACUCCAAUGACCCUCUCAUUGGGUCUAGGUGGAAGGAUCCUUGUGCCGGUUGACACCUUGAUGGUGGUCUUCGUCUUGGAUGAUGAUCCCUUGAGGAGUAGGGGUUGUGGCGGUGCGGUGAGAACUGGUUGAGCAUGGUAGGAUUGGGCGGAGCUGCGUUGGCGUAAUGGCAUGGCUUCUAGCUGUCGCUCUGUGUUGGCCGGGACGAGAGCACGGGCAUCGGGGUCUUCCAUAAGCUAAAUGUUGAGGUUGAAGGGAACGACUUCCCAAUCAUCGUGGAACUUCUCGGCCAUUGGAGCAGCAAGGAACUAAUCAAGCUCUAAUUGAAGAAGAAGGGAAGGCAUGGUGGCUUGGUGUUUGAAAACUGAGGUCAGGGGUCUCUUUAUAUAGGGGUCAAAAAGUGCCUCUAGGGGUUGUUCGGGUUGCUCCCGUCGAUGUGCUUGCAAAGCUUUCCAUCUGAGGGAUUAUUCGGAUUACCAUAAGUGCAUUUUUCAUAACAGAGAAAAUCGGGACCGAGGGGGAAUAGGAGCUGGGCACCCGCCCACCUGAUCUGGGCGCCCGCCCUCUCUCUGGCCCCUCUGUGGGCCCACUUUCUCGAGCGCGUUUCUAGAUGCAAAACUAUUUAGAAAAAUAUAUAUAUGACCCAAAAACAUCAGACUAAAAAGGUCGGGCUCUAAUUCUCCAUGGGAUGGUAAAAAUGGACUACGUCUAUUUCUUCUAAUUCUUUAUUGGGCUCUAAAAAUAAUUUAAGACGUUGACGAUUUACCUUGAAUAACGUACCUUUGUCAUUUUGAAGUGUGAUAGCUCCGUGGGAUGAUGAAUUAAUUACCUUUAAUGGUCCUUCCCAUUUGCUCCGGAGUUUUCCAUGACCGAAAAGCUUCACCCUGGAAUUAAAAAGUAAUACCUUAUCUCCGGGUGUGAACUCCUUCGUCUUGAUUCUCUUGUCAUGCCACCUUUUGACUCUUUCUUUGUAGAUCUUUGAAUUGUGAUAUGCCUUCUCUCGCCAUUCUUCCAAUUCCGAUAUUUGCAUUCUUCUAUAAUCUCCAGCAACAUCUAGGUCCAUAUUCCAUCUCUUUAUGGCCUAGUGUGCUUUGAACUCUAGUUCAACAGGUAGAUGGCAAGUCUUCCCGUACACCAAUUGGUAUGGAGACAUUCCAAUUGGGGUCUUGUAUGCUGUUCGGUAUGCCCAGAGUGCAUCGGGUAACUUGUCUUUCCAUGCCGUUCCCAUUUCAUUUACUGUCUUCUGAAGAAUAUUCUUGAUUUGUUUGUUGGAAGUUUCUGCUUGGCCACUUGUCUGAGGAUGAUAGGGGGUAGCGACGUUGUGACGGAUUCCAUGUUUUGAUAGAUAUUGCUUGAAGCGUUUGUCGAUGAAGUGUGCUCCUCCAUCACUUAUCACUACUCUGGGGACUCCAAAUCUUGGAAAUAUAAUUUCUUCAAACAUCCUCUUUGAACUGAUGUUGUCGGCAUGCUUGUAAGGUAAUGCCUCUACCCACUUGGAGACAUAGGCAACUGCCACCAAGAUGUACUCGCACUUCUUUGAUGGAGGAAAUGGACCCAUGUAGUCUAUUCCCCAUACAUCAAAGAGCUCAAUCUGAAGGUUGUUGGUGAGUGGCAUUGCAUCCCUUGUAUUUAUGUUUCCGUGCCUUUGACAUGGCCCACAUCUUCUGAUAUAUUGCUUCAUGUCUUCAUAUAUUGUAGGUCAGUAGAAUCCACACUGCCAGAUCUUUGAAUGUGUACGGAAUGCUCCAUAGUGACCUCCAUAUGGUGAUGAAUGACAUCUGUCGAUGAUCUUCCAUCCUUCCUCAGUGGUCACACAUCUCCUAAGUAAGCCAUCAGAGCACACUCGGAAGAGGUAUGGCUCAUCCCAUAUAUGUGAACGACUUUCUUGAAUAAGCUUCUUCUUGUUUGCUCCUGGUGGUACAUACCCUGAAACCAUAAAAUUAACAAUAUCUGCAUACCAGGGGUCAGACCUGUUAAUCCCGUAGAGCAUGUCGUCCCGGAGUGAAUCAUUGAUGGGGGUUUUCUGUGGACUCUUAAAGUACAUUCUAGACAAGUGAUCAGCACCAGAAUUUUCUACUCCCUUUUUAUCUUUUAUUUCUAUGUCAAAUUCUUGGAGUAAUAAGAUCCAUCUGAUCAGGCGAGGUUUAGCAUCUUUUUAGUGAGCAAAUAUUUUAGUGCAGCAUGAUCAGUGUAAACAAUUAUUUUAGCUCCAACUAAAUAAGAUCUAAAUUUAUCAAUGGCAAAGACAACAGCCAGAAGCUCUUUUUCAGUGGUUGCAUAAUUAAGUUGAGCUCCUAUCAAAGUUUUACUGGCAUAAGCAAUUGCAUGAUGCUUCUUAUUUUUAGUUUGUCCCAAAACUGCCCCCACAGCAUAAUCACUAGCAUCACACAUAAUUUCAAAAGGCAACGACCAAUCAGGGGGUUGAAUGAUUGGUGCAGAGAUGAGUGCUUUCUUUAAUAAAUUGAAAGAUGUUAGACAUGCAUCAUCAAAUUUGAAAGGAGCAUCCUUGGCUAGCAAAAGAGUAACUGGUCUAGCAAUGAAUGAAAAAUCUUUUAUGAAUCUACGAUAAAAACCAACAUGGCCAAGAAAGCUUCGAAUUCCUUUUAUAUUCACAGGUGGAGGUAGUUGUUCAAUUACUUCAAUUUUACAUUUUUCUACCUCAAUACCUCUUUCAGCCACUAAGUGUCCCAGCACUAUUCCUUCUCUAACCAUAAAAUGACAUUUUUCCCAAUUAAGGACUAAGUGCUUUUCUUCACAUCUUUGCAAAACCUUGUCUAAGUUUUCAAGACAACUAUCAAUAGUUUUUCCAUAAACAGAGAAAUCAUCCAUGAAAACUUCCAUAAUCUGUUCAAUCAUAUCAGAAAAUAUAGAGAUCAUGCAUCUUUGAAAAGAAGCUGGUGCAUUACAUAACCCAAAAGACAUUCUACGGUAAGCAUAAGUUCCAUAUGGGCAUGUAAAAGUGGUUUUGCUUUGAUCAUCAUGAUGGAUCGGGAUUUGGUGAUACCCUGAAUAUCCAUCUAAGAAACAGAAGAACGAAUGGUUCGCUAACCGUUCUAGCAUCUCAUCUAUGAAAGGUAAAGGAAAGUGAUCCUUUCUCGUGGCUUUGUUUAGUUUUCUAUAGUCUAUGCACAUCCGCCAUCCUGUGACGGUGCGUUGCGGAAUUAGCUCAUUCUUUUCAUUCAUAAUAACAGUCAUGCCUCCCUUUUUAGGCACAACUUGAACUGGGCUUACCCACUCACUGUGCGGCAUAGGAUAUAUAAUCCCUGCAUGCAACAACUUUAUAACUUCCUUUUUAACUACCUCUCUCAUAGUGUUAUUAAGUCUACGUUGGGGUUCUCGAGAAGGUGAAACAGAAGGGUCUGUUGGAAUACGAUAGGUACAAAUCAUAGGACUGAUUCCUGUAAGAUCUUGGAGUGAGUAGCCAAAAACUGAGUGAUGUUUCUCAAGAAUAGUCAUUAAUCGCAGAGUUUGGUCCUGAGUGAGUUUAUCGCUAAUGAUCAUAGGAAACUCUGGAUUAUUGUUUAGGAAAGCAUAGGUAAGACCGGGUGGUAAAGUUUUAAGCUCUAUGGGGGGUCUAGGUGUUUCUGCAAACUCAUCUAAGGGUUCAAGUUCAGAAGGUUCGGCUUCUUCUUCUGUGAAGAAAGGAGUUUCGUCUUCUAAGUCUGGUUCAUCUAAAAGCUCUAGAGAUGCAGCCUUUACCUCCUCCAUAGGAUCAGGCAAAAGAUAUGAUUCGGCCUUAUUGUUUAAGGAGUGUGAAAUUGUUAUUGGGAAUUUAAAGGUUUUUCCAAAAGAAAUGUGUAGCUUUCCAGUAUGACCUUCGUAAAGGAGUCUUCUAAAAGGUUGUCCUAUCAACUGGUCAAAGUCCCAUGUAUCAAAGAUAUAAAAGUUCAAAUGAACCAUGGAGCCUUCUACCGUAACAGGUAGGACAUUAAUAAUUCCAAGACUGGGGACUUAUCGCCCCGAAGAUUCCUUUAUGACCUUUGUUGUGGGGGUUAAGACAAGAUUUUUAAAUAGUUUAAGUGCAAAAGAUUCAGACAUGGUGUUGAUCCCAACAACAGGGUUAUAGAGAGCAUUAAAUCGAUCAGAAUUAUAAGCACAGCGUAUAGGUGUGUCCAAACGGAUCACAUCAGAGGAAAGCUCUGAUUCCUCCAACCACUCGCUACUCAUGACUGAGAUAAGCUCUCUCAAUUGGUAUUCACUUGGCAAAUAAAUGCUAAACUGGCCGUUUUGGGGUUUGUCAAAAGAAUGGUAGUUUGAAAUGUUUCCAAAAUCGGCAAAAAGAUCGGAUUCUAUAUCCAGCAUGAAGUCCGGUGGUGGAAUUUCUUCCUCUUGUGGCUCAGAACAUGGGAUAGCUAAAGUAGAUGAAGAAUUUGGUAGAGUGUCUACUUCGUCUUCGUAGGUUUCAUCAUGAAGGGUAUUAUCCAUCUCAGCUUCUAGGAUUCUAUCUAGGAUCACUCUAGCUUCAUCAGUAGGGAUGCGAAAGAAAGAACCUCUAGACAUUGUGUGUAGCAUUUGUUUGUGAUUUUUCUGAAGACCUCGAAAAAAGUGAAAUAAAAGAACAGGGUCUUCACGAUUAAGGUUUGGACCAGAUUCUAAAAGAUCCGAAAAACGUUUCCAGGAUUUUCCCAAAGUUUCAUUAUCUUUUUGUUUAAAAGAUAGGACUUUGAGUCUAAGGUUGGCUAUACGGUCGAGGGAAUAGAAAUCUAGACAAAAGUUGGCUCGUAAAACUCCCCAUUCACCUUGUUGUUGACUUACCUUCUGACUGUACCAUUGUCUAGCUUCUCCCCUGAAAGAAAAAGGAAAAAGCUUCCAACGUAAAGUUUUAUCAGAAAUGCCUUCAAUGCGAAGACAAUCACAUGUUUGCUCAAAAUCUCUAAUAUGAAGAAGGGUUUUCGUCUUCCUUUCAGGAAAAAGAUAGGUUUUGAAUCAUGGCAAUCAACCUAGAACUGAACUUAUACUGAGAUGUUUGGAUAGGCUGUGAUGACUCCCAUGGUAAAAGGUCGGUUACUGAAAGGAUUGCAGAUUCAUGGAUCGAUUUAGAAUUUUGGUUUUCCAUAAGGUAAGAAGAAAAAAAAUAAAUACAGAAUAUAAAAGAUAAGAAAAGAUAAAAGUACAAAUACAAGCUAGUAGUAAGACUCAAGGUUAUCUCAGCAAACCGUCUUUCUCCCCGGCAACGGUGCCAAAAAUGCUUGUUGAUAUUUGGGAACGCAAUAAGGAAUUGAUCCGCAAGCGCACGGAUAUCGGUGAGCACUUCACCCAGGAGGUUAUGCAGAGUAUCGUAUUUAUUUUUUUACCACUAGGAGAAAGAGUGCAUCUGACUAACCGGUCUAUUACUACUAACCCUUUAGGCAACAAAGAAUGUCUCUCGAUGUGAGUGAUAAAUAGAGAAGACUGUGUUGACGGUCCUUAAGUACUAAAAUUAAUAAUCAAAUAAACAUGAAAAAGGAUCAAUAUGAAACAAACAUCUAGAAUUAGGGUUUUAUCUGACAGAAUUCCACGAGCUUUGGUGUUUAUCUAUUUCUGCAGGGGUUUAUCAGAAAAUAUGGAGAGAAGGCCCACAUGUCAUGUUUACAACGAGAUAAUUACGUGCCGCGCAAAUUUCCUCAAUCUAGAAGGAUCCAGAAGCCACGGGAACGAACGGGACGCGAAUCGGGCUCGGGAGCUGGCGGCCGCCCACCCCCAUUGGGCGCCCGCCCUGGCCAAGAGGCCAAUUAGGACUCUGCUUCAGGGCAAGACUCCACCGACCUAAAGGAUCAAUCUAAACCAUACAAUCUAUGUCGGUUUGAUCCAAUGGCUCACGUUCACUUGAGGGGACUAUAAAACCAGACCCCCUGGCCCCUAGAGGAGGAGAGGAGAAAUCAUUAUUCAGAGGUAGCCAUCAAAGUUAGGGUUUAGAUCUCUCUCCCACAGAGAAUUAGAAUUAGCUACUCCCUAAUCCUUCAAGUUUAGAGGUUGAUUAGAUAGCAAUUAGAGAAGUAGAGCACUACGCUCUGGAUUCGGAUCUUCGGUAAUAAAGAUUGGUAUUAUUCAUAUCUUUCUCUAAUUCUAUUGUUCUAAUUGCAUUAUGUUUCUAAUUAUUAUGUUCUUAGUUUGCUCUAGUUCUAUAUUUGAUAUAGUUCUAAUUGAUAAUGAGUUUAUGUAUAAGUUUGCAAAGCGCUUAGCUCUUGUCGCGAGGGAGUUAAGUGAUAGAUCACAUGUGAGCGUGGUGCUUAGAUGUUAUUUAUCUGCAAAUGUAUCCUAUUGGCCGGGUCGUGUGGUAGUUCGCGAUAGUGACAGCUUCGUUGAUUCUUAUAUAGUCCACCCUCCGUUGAUAGGACAGGCAGAACCGGUAUUGUGGAGUAAGUCAUGCGAUGCUCUGAUUUACUUUAUCAAUGUUCCUUAUACAUGAAUGAAGAGUCUUUUAUGCUAUAUAUGAUCUUGUAGAUAACUAGAGUAGAUUAUGACUUAGUAGUUAGUAGAUAACUUAGAAUUCAUUCUCUAGCUAAUCCGACAUCACCUACAUAUAUGAGGAGUAGUCUAUUUUCUAAUCGUUGUGCUAUCUACCCAUGAACUUAUACUUUAUUAUCAUUAUCUUUGUGGUUUACCCCCUGCUAAAGUAUGUGACUGUGUGACGAGUUUCUCAUUAGUAAUCAUGUUCUUGCAAGUUUAUCUCUAGUCUAUGCCUUGAUAGAUUUUGUCCCUUGAUUUAAUUCCAUCUUCUUUAGAUCCCUAGAGCAAAAUUAUAAAUAACGAUACCUGGAAUACUUAUCCUGGUGAAAUGCUACAAUGAGGUGUUUUAUCUGUGUGCUUGCGGAUAGAAUAGAUUAUUUUCUAGAGAGCCUUUACAUUUAUAAAUACCUUUGUACACUCUGGCGCCAUGCUAGGGAUGACAACCUAGUAUCUAAGUGGUGUUAGCUAGUGUCAACAAGCAUUUCUGGCGCCGUUGCCGGGGAUCAUUAUAGAAGUCAUACGAGUCUCAGGAAUAAGUCAUAAAAGGGAACAAAAGGGUAAUAUUAAGGAAGCCAGAAAAUCAAUCAAGGUUAUUCAUAUAAAAUAUUAGACUAGACUAUAGAGAAAUAAUUGCAUAAAACAGCUACUAAGUGAGAAAUCAUAACAAGGCACCGCUGCUUUGGCAGGUUCACCCUGUUGUUUUUCUAUGUUUAUAUUUUUAUACAGGGUAUAACAGGAUUGACUUUGGGUACAUUCAACUCUUCAUCAUCAGAACCAAAGCAAUCAAGAGAAGAAGAAGCUAGCUACCAAUUGCUGAAGCUAUGGCACAAAAGACCUUGCAAGAAUUCUCUGCUCCAAGUCUUGACAACAUUCCAACUGGUCCAAGAUUUGCAGUAGAAGAAGGAAUACCUGAGUUUGAGCUCAAGCCUCAUCAAUUUGGUACAAGCUACACAAUUCAGUGGAAAGGCACAUGAAGAUGCCAGUGCACACUUGCAGAAUUUCUUAGAGAUUGGAAGCACAAUCCACAUCAACGGAGUUGACAAAGACGUCAUACUGCUUCGCCUCUUUCCAUUCUCACUAGAAGGAAAAGUGAGGAAAUGGUUCUACACUCAUCAAGAUAACAUCAACAACUGGACGAACUUGUCAGAUGCCUUUCUAUCAAAAUUUUUCCCUAUAGGCAAGACAACUGCCUUAAGAGGAAAUAUUAUCAGUUUCCAACAACAGAAGACAGAAGCCAUUUCAGAAGCAUGGGAGCGUUUUCAAGGAUACAUAUCAGAUUGUCCUCACCAUGGAAUGGCCACAUGGUUACUUAUGCAGACCUUCUACCAUGGAUUAACCCAGAAGGCCCGUGAGUGCCUAGAUGCAUCUGCUAAAGGAUCAUUCUUGGAGCUUACAACUGGAAAAGCAGAGAUACUUUUGGAUAAGAUAGCAGAAAAUCAAAGCUGGUUCCAAGAUAAAGCUAAACAAUGUCAUCAAACUGAAGAAAUACUAGAGGAAGUAAAUGCAUUAUCAACUAAGAUGGAAAAUUUGCUCCAUUGGAUUGACCAGAGGGCCAAGUUCAAAGAAGAUCACAGGGCCAUUGAGACAGCAUACAAAUAUCAACCAACUUCGAGUCAACCCAAUAGCAAAGGUAUGAAUUCAGGUAAUACUUUCAAGCAACUUUCAUUAAAAGAGAUAAUUGCUCAACAAACCAAAAUUAAUGAUGAAGUUAAACAAAGGCUAGAUACAAAUGAAUCAUCUCUAAAAGAUAUAUAUAAUAAAAUGGAUUUUCUACUAACUGCCUUUGAUGAGCAAAACACUCUUAAUAAAAGGGUAGAGCUUAAAUUAAUAAAGUUAGCUGCUGCACUGCCUGUUGCUACUAACCUUGAGCAGGUAAAGAAUAUAACUACUAGAGGAGGUAGAGCUACCAGAGAUCCACCAUACCCAAAAGAGAAACAAAGAACAUCAGCACCAGUGCAACCAGCAGUGAUAGAAGAAGAAAGCCCAGUUGGAGCAGAAGAUUUGCUACAACCACCAAGAACUGGAGAAAUGAGGAAAGAUUUUUACGACACCAACUAUUUGCCAUUUCCCAGAAGAAACAGAGGACUGCAGUCGGAUGAGCAGUUUGGUAAGUUUGUAGAGGUCAUUCAGAAAUUAUAUGUCAACAUACCUCUACUUGAUGCCAUACAGGUACCUACAUAUGCAAAGUACAUCAGAGAUAUUCUUAACAAGAAGAGACCACUGCCCACCACUGAGGUUAUCAAGCUGACAGAAGAAUGUAGUGCGGCCAUCCUCAACAAACCACCAAAGAAGAAGGAAGAUCCAGGAUGCCCCACUAUUGACUGCUCGAUCGGAAACCAACACUUCAACAAUGCACUUUGUGAUCUCGGAGCAAGUGUCAGUGUGAUGCCAGCAUCAGUCUACAAAAAGCUUAAUCAUGCAAACUUAGAACCAACAUCAAUGUGCCUACAACUAGCGGAUCAAUCGGUUCGACACCCGUUGGGCAUCGCCGAGAACAUUCCAGUCAAGAUCAGAGAUUUCCUGGUGUCAGUAGACUUCGUAGUACUGGACAUGAGUCCUGACUCAAAAGUGUCCAUCAUCCUUGGAAGGCCAUUUCUGAGCACUGCCAAUGCCCACAUUGAUGUCGGAAAAGGAGAAAUCAAGUUCAACAUAAACGGUCAAGAAGAACACUUCACAUUCAAACCCAGAGAGAGACCCUACAGUAAAGGAAGUUCAUGAAGAACCACUGGAGACACCAUCUCCGGAGGAAGAAAACUCAGAAGAUUAAAAGAUUUGGAGGUCCAGCUUGGGGGACCUAAAAAUCCCAAACCCUCACCGGGAGGUAAAUCGGUAUUUAUCUGCAUUAUUAAUUUUCUCAUAUUUAACUUCUUGCAUAAUUAAUUCUUGCAUUAGUCAUAGCAUUAUUAUAAUAAUAAAAAAGGCCAGAUAUAAAUAAUAUUCGUGGUGUGUAACAACCCAUAUUUAUUAAUUAUUAUGGAGGCACAAAAAUAUUUUCCAAUAUCAUUUUCAUUAAGAUUCAAUUCUCAUAGAUUUUCCUGCAUUAUAUUUAUUUAUAUUGAUCUUCUAGAAGAAUGACCCACACUCUUUGGGUCCCACAUGUCAUACACCACACCUCACAUACAUCCCAUCACAUAAUUUCAUCCACCAAUAUGUUUCCACUCACCUGACAUCUUUCCACCGACCAACCACCACCACACAACAUUAUUCUGCGUGAGAUCAAAGCAAGGAAGCAAGUGGAGGAGGCACACCCAGGAUGGGCAUCACAAGUGGGCGCCCGCCCACCUACCAAGGGCGCCCGCCCUGUCCCCUCUUCCUCCUAUAAAUAGCCACCUUCUACCUCCAUCUUCUUCACACAAGCACUCCAGAAAACCACACAAGUAUCAGUUUCCAGAAAGAGCUCUUGUAGUGAAGAGAGAAGAGAGUAGAAAGAAAGAGAAGAGUGGGAAAGAAGUUGAUAGAGAGUGAGUAUCACUUAGCAAGCAGUGAUCCCGCUGUCUAAGCAGAAGUAAAAGUUGUUUAGGGGGAGGCUCUACCAAAAUAGAAACUUGUCUUGAACGAUUAACCCCUAGACUACUGACCCUCGGACAGCUGACCACUAACAUUUUAUCUCACAUUUUCCACCAGUUGUGUUUUUGCCAACUUUUGUUUGCAGGAUGUUUAAGAAGGUGAAGAAUGCAGGGAAGGCUCUCAAGAACAUUGGUACAAGGAGUUCAACCCGACACUCCUCACAGCCAUCAGAGAUGAGCGUCGACCCGACACCCACACAAGCUCCAUCAUCUUCAUCAGGCCAGCAAGUCAAGGUCCUUCUCAAGAUAGGAGACCUUGGACUGAAGACCCGAAGAGAGAAGGAAGUUUAUCAGCAAUUGAAGAACAAGGAUUUCAUUCACACCCCUACUAUCGAUCCAAUCCUACUACGAGAAACAGGUAUGGACACUGAAUUUGACUUAAUUUUUCAGAUGAUGGGUUGGACAAAUUUUUGGAAUAUAACUGAGCUAGGUUCUCGUCUUCUCACCCUCGAAUUUCUUAGCACUUUACAAUACUAUGAGGGGGGAAUUGUUUUUCGGAUGUUUAAACAGGAAAUUAUGUUAUCUUGGAGAGAGCUGAGCGACCAUCUUGGUUUCUCUUCAAGAUGCAUCCUAAACAUUGAUUCCGAUUUACCCAAUUUUGAGAGACACCAGUUUUGGAGAGAAAUAUCUAGAGAUAAUUUUUACAGUCAAGCCCGAAUCAGUGACAUGGAACACCCCACUCUUAGGAUGUUCCACAAAUGGCUUGGGUACAAUCUUUUCUAUCGCGAUGAUAUUAGGAAAGUAAGAGUAGGAGAUUUACAACUUUUAUAUGCUGCUAUUAGUAAAGUACCCACUUCACCUGUUACAUUAUUAGUUUCACAUUGGCUUAGUAUACCUAGUCUUUAGGGACCAGUAGGAUGUACUUCACUUAUCACUCGUCUAGCCUCUAAUCUUCACUUAUUAGAAAAUUCAUCGUUGGACUUCAUAGAAGAAUUAAGAAUUUAUCAUGGCUAUGACACAUUUAGACAAGCUCAGAUGUUAAAGAAAGAGGGGAAUAUAAUGUAUAUGCUAUAUGAUGAUAAAGGCAAGAUUCGGUUACCUAACCCGAACCUUGGCCUCUACGUUGUUCAAAACUUUUUGAUUGAGAUUGCAGCAACACCAGUGAACCAGAGAACUCCACAGCGAGUGGCAUCUGAAAGGAUAACCACUCACCGAGAACGCACUUGGUAUGGAGCUGACCCUGGACCAGAAGAAGCAGCACACCUGCAUUAUUGCGAUUACAACCCUCGAGUCCUUCGAGACCCAUGGGCUCGUCAUGCGCAACCACAAGAGCCAACAGAGGAGACAUGGCCGGAGAGCCAAGAGCACCAGUGGACAAACCCGCCUUUUCAUACGGGCAGGUACUCCACUGAUCCAUAUGGAGCUUCAGGAUCCAGACCUCCACCCCAAUUUGAUGCAGGACGAUACUCCGACGCCUCCUACGCCUUCACGAAUGACUACUAUCAAGAGGCCGGUGCUUUCUUCACUCGUACCGACAACACCCUCCUCGACAUCCAGAACACGCAAGCAGAACAUGGAAGACUCCUGGAAGAGCAACAAAAAUGGAACCAGGACCAUGCCGCUGCGGUACAAGAGCUGAGACAAGAUACAACAACAAUGAACGAUAACAUCACAACCAUGAUGCGGUUCUGGAACAUCGGGUAAGACCCACGUCAACAUCCAGCUUGGGGGAGUUCCUCCCUAAUUUAUCAAGUAAGUUUUUAUUUGCUCUUCUUAUUUAUUCUAUUCUAUCUUAGUAUUUUAUUUAUCUUAAAAGGAAAACUUAGAAAACCAAAUAAAUAUUUUCUUACUUUAAUUUACUGCACUUUAUAAACAUGAAAACAAAAUAAAAAGAGUGUGUAGAUAAGUGUGCUUUAUUUUCUUGCUAAGUUUAAUCUCUAGAAAAAAACAAAAAAAAACAAAAAGACCAAAAAGAUGCAUGAUGGAAAUGACGAACAGUUGCUCUGUUUGCUUACUUACAAGUACCUAGCUUUUACAUUAGAGUUCUUCCAGGAAUUACUAAAACUGAAUUUACUAUCUUUGGGAAGCAUAAAACUAAAGCCUAGGUAAGAGAAAGGCAUGAUAUAAAGUUGAGCUACUGUUUAUCUUGUUCCUACUACACCAAGUUCUAGAGAUUUAUUUUUGAAAACUUACAAAUCACAUGAUGAGUUCCUAGUAUACAAAACUACCUACCACAGCCAUACUUGCUAUAACAUAUUUUGCUAUAUUUACAUUGAGUUUGAUCGAGCUGUGUAGACCCUUAGGAGCUUUUCAUGUGGUUAAAUUAAGAUAUUCACUUGCACACAUCUACCACAGCAUUCAUCAUCAAUCAUUAAAAUUGCUAAAAAUAUUAUCACUCACUGUCCCGAAUAUUAUUAUUCUCUCUCUCUAAAAAGAUUCAAUGCAGAAGAGGCAUGGGUUAUGCAAAAAUAUAUACGAGGAAAUAAAAAGGGGCAAGUGCCCGGGAACUUCGAAAAAGAAAGAAAAAGAGUGAGACGAGAGGUAAAAAUGGACAAGUGUCCGAAGUAGAAUUAGGGGUACAAAGAUGCCCACUUGAGCGGAAAAAAUGGACAAGUGUCCGACAGUAGAAUUAGGGGUAUCUAUUACCCACCUGAAAAAAAAAGAAGAAGAAAGAAGAAAGAAAAAGAUAGCCCAUGUUCUCCCAAAGCAAAGAUCAAAAAUAAGAGGAGAGAUAGCAAUAUGAGGAGCAAUGAGAACUAAGAUUUAUUAACACUAUUGCAUUUUCACCAUCACUAUCAUUUACUCUACCACACAUGCACAUCUUGAUUUAAUUAUAUGCUGAGUUCCUUUGGAUCCAUGGCUCGAUUAGACAACAUAUGUAUGAGCUGUUUUCCACUCCUAUGAGCUCCAAUUAAAUAUUCUAUUAGCUAUAGGUAAGUGACAUUUUGGUAAGGAUCCACAAAUACCACAUAUAGAGAGACUUGAGAGAUCAUUGCUGGGAACUUUGAGUUUUAUUUUGAAAACUUAUGAAAAACUCUAGAACAAAGGUGAAGUAUAGACAAGAGGGAUAGUGCUUGACUUAACUAUUUUGUCUUUCGAUUACUUAAGACUUAAGUGCAGGUUCUAAACUCCAUAACACUUCACUCUAAUCUGGAAGAAUUUUAUGUAAAAGCAAGUGUGCCUGUCAGGAAAGAAACUCCUGAUCCGUCUGAGUUUAGCUAUUUGCUCAGGGACGAGUAAAGGGUAAGCUUGGGGGAGUUUGUUGAUGGUCCUUAAGUACUAAAAUUAAUAAUCAAAUAAACAUGAAAAAGGAUCAAUAUGAAACAAACAUCUAGAAUUAGGGUUUUAUCUGACAGAAUUCCACGAGCUUUGGUGUUUAUCUAUUUCUGUAGGGGUUUAUCAAAAAAUAUGGAGAGAAGGCCCACAUGUCAUGUUUACAACGAGAUAAUUACGUGCCGCGCAAUUUUCCUCAAUCUAGAAGGAUCCAGAAGACACGGGAACGAACGGGACGCGAAUCGGGCUCGGGAGCUGGGCGGCCGCCCACCCCCCUUGGGCGCCCGCCCUGGCCAAGAGGCCAAUCAGGACUCUGCUUUGGGGCAAGACUCCACCGACCUAAAGGAUCAAUCUAAACCAUACAAUCUAUGUCGGUUUGAUCCAAUGGCUCACGUUCACUUGAGGGGACUAUAAAACCAGACCCCCUGGCCCCUGGAGGAGGAGAGGAGAAAUCAUUAUUCAGAGGUAGCCAUCAAAGUUAGGGUUUAGAUCUCUCUCCCACAGAGAAUUAGAAUUAGCUACUCCCUAAUCCUUCAAGUUUAGAGGUUGAUUAGAUAGCAAUUAGAGAAGUAGAGCACUACGCUCUGGAUUCGGAUCUUCGGUAAUAAAUAUUGGUAUUAUUCAUAUCUUUCUCUAAUUCUAUUGUUCUAAUUGCAUUAUGUUUCUAAUUAUUAUGUUCUUAGUUUGCUCUAGUUCUAUAUUUGAUAUAGUUCUAAUUGAUAAUGAGUUUAUGUAUAAGUUUGCAAAGCGCUUAGCUCUUGUCGCGAGGGAGUUAAGUGAUAGAUCAGAUGUGAGCGUGGUGCUUAGAUGUUAUUUAUCUGCAAAUGUAUCCUAUUGGCCGGGUCGUGUGGUAGUUCGUGAUAGUGACAGCUUCGUUGAUUCUUAUAUAGUCCACCCUCCGUUGAUAGGACAGGCAGAACCGGUAUUGUGGAGUAAGUCAUGCGAUGCUCUGAUUUACUUUAUCAAUGUUCCUUAUACAUGAAUGAAGAGUCUUUUAUGCUAUAUAUGAUCUUGUAGAUAACUAGAGUAGAUUAUGACUUAGUAGUUAGUAGAUAACUUAGAAUCCAUUCUCUAGCUAAUCCGACAUCACCUACAUAUAUGAGGAGUAGUCUAUUUUCUAAUCGCUGUGCUAUCUACCCAUGAACUUAUACUUUAUUAUCAUUAUCUUUAUGGUUUACCCCCUGCUAAAGUAUGUGACUGUGUGACGAGUUUCUCAUUAGUAAUCAUGUUCUUGCAAGUUUAUCUCUAGUCUAUGCCUUGAUAGAUUUUGUCCCUUGAUUUAAUUCCAUCUUCUUUAGAUCCCUAGAGCAAAAUUAUAAAUAACGAUACCUGGAAUACUUAUCCUGGUGAAAUGCUUCAAUGAGGUGUUUUAUCUGUGCGCUUGCGAAUAGAAUAGAUUAUUUUCUAGAGAGCCUUUACAUUUAUAAAUACCUUUGUACACUCUGGCGCCAUGCUAGGGAUGACAACCUAGUAUCUAAGUGGUGUUAGCUAGUGUCAACAGACUGCAACCGUAGUCUCCUUCUAACCUUGGUAAGGAUGAUCUACUGUUCUAUUGGGGAGGCUAACGGAAUCUAGACACCACAAAGGAUGUUCAACCCGCACCUAUAAACCCUAUCCUUCCUGCUAAUGAGAUAUGGUCUGCAAAGGUAACUCGGAAUUGUCACGUUCCUCACUACUACCACGGUCCAGCUAGUCAGGGAAUAUCUAUGAGUACCCCAGCCUAAACACCACAUUUAUGCCAGCAAUGAUUACUCUAAACUCUACGCGAAGAGAUUAAAGUAAACUCAUAAACCAGAAGAACAAUAAAACAAGAACUUACUAGAAUUUAGAAGUUGAAAUACUAAAGAAUCCUAGGAGCAAGCUUCGGGUUAGGAGAACUUGAUCCCGCAGGUACAAGCUUGGAGUAGACACCGACAGGCCGGGCUUCCUCCAAUCUACACCUCCACUCUAUCUCUCUCAAUCUAGUAGAAACUAGAAGAUCUAUUUCUACCUUACAUUGGUUGCUAAGCCUAAAAAUAAAUAUUAUUUAGAGAAGAGGUUUUCCUUCGAGGGCACCCCUCAACCUCUGUGAUAAUUUCUUGUCUUCUCCAGGGGCCAGGGGGGUGUCCUUAUAUAGUCCUCCUCUAUGCGUUUUUGGGUCGGUAGGUGAGGUGGUACUACAUUAUUUUUGAUCCAUUAGUGAAAGCCCUAGUUUGGUUUUGGAUAAUUGAUGAAACCCUAGUACUAACCUCUAUACUAAGUGUGUGUAGACUUAAUGAGGUUGUACAUGCCAAGUGAUGGAGCAAGUGAUGAUCAUGGUGAUGAUGGUGAUGACCACAAGAUGAUCAAGUGCUCAACUUGGAAAAGAAUAAAGAGAAAAACAAAACCCUAUGGAGAUCAAGGCAAAGGUAUUGCUUAGGGUUUUGGUUUUGGUGAUCAAGACACCAUAGAGGGUGUGAUCACAUUUAGGAUAGAUAGCCAUACUAUAAAGAGGGGAAUUCUUUGGCUAAGCAGUUAUCAAGUGCCACUAGGUGUUAUUGUUCAUGUGCAUGCAUUUAGAACCUAGUGAGCUAACUUAACUCCCUCGAAGAAAAUGAUUGUGAAAAUGCUAACACACGUGCACAUGUUGGUUUACACAUUGUGGUGUUGGCACACUUUGAGAAGGAGGUGGAGUUUCAAAGGUAGAGAGAGGAUGGGUUUUCGAGAAAAUGAAGUGCAUAUUUUCUAUUGUGCCGGUGGGAAAUUUGGAGAAGUCACGGGAGUGUUUUCUCGCUGAGGAACACUCACCGGACGCUGACACAGAAGCACCGGACGCUGUUCCUGUGCGUCCGGUGAGCAGGCAGCCUGACUCGGUUAGGGUUAGGCACCGAACAAUAGGCACCGGACGCAGCUUGGAGCAUCCGGUGGUGUGCGUCCGGUGUGAGGAGGUUUCACAAACCUCUCUGCGCAUGAGUCCGAUGAGCACCGGACGCUCAGGGUGCGUCCGGUGGCUUGCGUCCGGUGACCCUGCAAGUUUGCGGAGCUCUCUGCGCAUGAGUCCGGUGUGCACCGGACGCGUCCGGUGCUAACUUGCUCAGCGUUCGGUGCUCUGCAGGUUACCGUUAGACUGUGACACGCGGCUGACGUUGGAGCACCGGACGCUGGUGUUGAGCGUCUGGUGCCCCUUUAAGAGCGUCCGGUGAUCCCGUAUUUCGCCCAGUGAAAGAGGCGACGGCUCUAUUUGUUUGAGGGGCUAUAAAUACGUGUUUGGCUGGCUUGGGGCUCACACUCUUGGUACUCUAACAUACUUAACAUCCUUGUGAGCCUAAGCAAACACCUCCCACUCAUCUCCUUCAUAGAUUAUACAUCUUUGUGAGAUUGGGAGUGAUUCCAAGUGCAUUUGCUUGAGUGAUUGCAUCUAGUGGCACUUGGGGAUCGUUCUAGCUGCGGUUUUCUUGUUACUCUUGGUGGUUGCCGCCACCUAGACAGCUUGGAGCAGCGGAGGAGGAUUGGCACGAGUUGGUGAUUGUUCGUGGCCAUCUCCCGGUGAUUGUGAGAGGUUUGUGCCUACCUCGGCGGAGAGCCAAAGGCAACAUUAGUGGAUUGCUCGUGUCAUUGAGCUACCUCACUUGUGGUUAGGUUCUUGUGGUGUCCUAGUGAGGACGAGGUUCGUGCUACACCUCUUAGCCACCGAACCACCAAGUGUUGGUCGACACAACGGGGACGUAGCGUGCCGGCAAGCACGUGAACCUCGGGAGAAAAAUUGUGUGUCUCCAUUGUGAUUGUUCAUUGGAUUUCUCCCGGUGAUUGGACUUCAUAUUAUUGAUUGGUUUAUCCCCUCAACGCGGCGGUAUAAAGUUCAAACCAUCUCUUUUACAUUCCCGCAAACUAGAGUAGCUUACUUACUUGUAUAGAAACUUUAGGUAGCUUUCUAGUGUAAGUAGUGACAUAGCUCUUGUGUGCCUAGUGAUUAUAUCAACUAGAAUUGUUGGAUAGGUGGCUUGCAAACACCCCUUAGAGCUAGAGCAAAAAGCUUUGCUUUGUUAUUUACUAACCUCUUGCUCUAGUGAAUUUGUAGAAUUUUUUAGUAGGCUAUUCACCCCCCUCUAGCCAUAUUAGGACCUUUCAAUUAGGUCGGUGGAACAUCGUGUGCGAAGAGAGUCCCGAACGGGAUCCAGCAGGGGGUGGGCGCCCAGGUCACCAGGGCGGGCACCCUGGGCCUGGCCCCUUUCGGCCUCUGCUUCGUUCUCGUGGCUUCUGGAGUCUUCUAGAUGAUAGAAAAUCAUGCGGUGCGUUGAUAUCUCUAUGUAAUCCCGACAUGUGGGCCUUUCUUCCUUAUUUCCUGAUAACCCCCUGCAGAAAUAGACAAACAACAAAACUCGUGGAAUUCUGUCAGAUCAAACCCUAAUUCUAGGUGUUGGUUGCAUAUUGGUCCUUUCUUUUGUUUAUUUGAUAAUUAAAAUUGAUACUUAAGAACCGUCAACAGGGAGGAAGGAGACGUUUUCCUUCAAGAACAAGACUACACAAAUCUCAGAGCAUUCCCUAUAUGAACCAAGGAAGGGGACCAACAGGAGGAACAAGAACAAACAAAUGUGUACCGAGUCAGCUAAGAUGGUCACUGCAGUUAAAGGAGGUCAAGAUCGUCAACUCAAGUCGCCUUUCUAACCAAAAAGGACGACCCAGUCACCUAUCAGCUCCUAUUCGGAACCAUGCCCCUAAAACAGACAUACAUUCAGCUCCAGACGGCAGAUCAGACAUUCUGAAAGGUUGAAGACAAGUACGAUCCACCCAUCAUCCUUGGGAGACUGUUCCUCAGCACCGUUAAAGAAAAUAUCUACAUUGGAACCAGAGAAGUCCACAUGCACUUCCCGUCUGAGAAGGUACGCCGCUAUUUUACUGACCUUAACUAUAUAGUUGAAGACUCUAAGCAGGUCAGGACAAGAAGAAGACGACGCAACCACAACCAGAGGAGGCAAAUCAUCAAGGACGAAUGGGCAGACUACGAAGGAGAAGUGGUAAUGUCUGAAGACAUACAGCUUGAACAGAACUGUCCUGAGGAGACCGUAGCACCGAGUUAGGUGUGAAGAGAGAAGAUAGCUAUACACGAAGAAGAGGCGCCGCCAGAACCACCGACUACGCCAUCCAGCGAAUCCCAGGACGAUUGAGAAAACGGAGAGUCCCGUUCGGAGGACUUAAAAACACCGAACGCCUUGCCAAGAGGUAAACUUGGUAGUUAUCUUUUUCCUUUCAAUUAUUUAAAAUAUUUUGCUUCGUUAAUCAGGUUCAUAUCAUUCUGAUAAGAAAAUAAAAAUGUCAAAAAAUAGUAAGCCCCAUGUGAGUAUGCUCAUGGCAUAAAACCCAUAAGUACAUUCACUGUGGUGGCAUAAAAAUAAAAUAAAUAUAUUCCUAUCCUAUAAAAAUAAAAUUAUAAAAAUAGAUUUAUGAUCCUACUAAAGAGUGUAACAUUUAUUGAAGAGGCUCAACAUGAUAAAGGCUAGAUAUUUAUGCUAACACUUAACUAGUUCCACAAAGCUUUGUUGUCUAUUUGAGCUCCACAGAAUUCAAGGAUCAAAGAAGACUAGCAGACGAAGGACAUCCUAAUCGCUGUCAGGGUGCUGCCAAUAUUCAAAUACACCUCCGCCACCUGCUAGCUACAUCAGAAGAAAUUACGUCAAAAUCUAGCCUGGGGGAGAGCACCCCCAUUUAUCCAGCUAAGUAUUCUAUUCAUGUUUAUAUUUUACUCAAAUAAUAAAAAGAUGCAUAAUCAUAAAAACCCAAAUAAAUAUUUUGUGCUUAUAUAUCUUUGCUUAGUUUGCUAAAUAAAUAAAUAAAUAAAUAAAUAAAGUUUGCUAUGAACCCUCAUGAUAAGCUCUCACAUGGAAAUGAUAAAUAGUUGCUCUGCCAUGACUAAUUCUCAAAAUUGAAAUCUCUCUCAAAUUUAUGCAUGACUGUUAUUAAUUAAGAUUUGCUCUAAACCUGAACUUGUGGGAAGAGUACUUGAUCUAAAGUCUAAGUCGUUAACGGAUACGAUAUGGGAAGGUUGAGUUGUUGUUUAUCUAUUCCUAGAGAUGCUAGAAUUCUGGAGAAUUUUAUCUUUAAAAAUCUUUAAAAUGUUACAUGAUGAGUUCCUGUAUGAGGAGAGUUUAAAUUCCUACCACAGCCAUAUAUACAUGCUUAUUAGACUAUGAACCAUUCAUUUACUUUUUACUGCUUAUGAGCAUUGAGUGUGGUCAAGCUGUGUAGACCCUUAGGAGCUUGUCAUGUGGUUAAAAUCAAGAUUCACUUGCACGUUCACUCACACAUGCUGCUUCUACUCCGGAAGUACGCAUCCACAUAUAUCCACCCAUUUCCAUCUCUAGAACCACCCAAAAAUAUUCUACUCCUAAUCUAGGAGAGAAUAGCCAAAAAUAUUUCUGUUUUUCCCUUGUGAAAUAAAUGCUCAAGUUAUCUUGUUACUACCACUUGCUAUAUUAUUUCAGGAGAUGAGUGCUCUAAAAAAAGAAAAAAAAGAAGAAAAGAAAAGAGAAAGAAUACGAGGAAAUAAAAAGGGGCAAGUGCCCGGAACCUCAAAAGAAAAGAAAAAGUGAGACAAGAGGUAAAAAUAGACAAGGGUCCGACAGUAGAAUUAGGGGUACGAGAUACCCACCUGAGAGAAAAAAAAGAAAAUAUAGAGCAUCUCAUUCUCCUCAAAAAGUUUCAAAAGAGCAAGAAAGGUAUGUAUCCCCUCAAAAGAGCAUAAGUAGAAUUAGACUUUCACCAUUGUUAUCACCAUCAUCACCAUACACCAUUCAUUCGCCACACAUGCACAUCUUGAUUUGACUUAUUGACUUGUUCUUCUGGAUCCAUGGUUUGGCUAUGCAAUAAAUGUCUUGUAAGUAUGUAUUAGCUGUGUCCCACCUAUGAGCCCCAGAUAUCGAAAGCCUUAUUAGAGUACGGUGAGAGAGAAGGCAUACACCAUUACUGCCUUCGUAAGGAUCCAGAAAUACCACAAA
Molecule: long non-coding RNA, 34973 nt
Filed under: Sorghum bicolor (sorghum)
Lineage: Eukaryota; Viridiplantae; Streptophyta; Magnoliopsida; Poales; Poaceae
Description: long non-coding RNA (SBIC_LNC004691)
Source: RNAcentral